UUACGCCAUUCUCCUGCCUCAGCUAAAUUUCUUUCUUUUUGCUAAAUCACUCAGAAUAAAAGUAAAACCUGGUUUAAAAUGAGAUCUACAUCCACUGGAAUAAGAGAGCCCUUAUAUUUUUAAAGGGGAAAAAAAAACCUCACAGCUUUUCAUAUUAAAUAGCAUUAGGGCAAAGAAAAAAAUAUGUUGAUUAUCAUUUCCAUGAUUCAAAUGCAAAUUUCUAAAUGUAAACAAUGUCUUACUUCUUUUUUGAUGAUCAGUGGGAAAUUAAAUUCUGAAACUGGAGCAGGGAAAGGCAUGUUUUUGUAUUCAUAGGAGACAGCAGUUUUUCCAGCAGAGAAGCAGAAGGCAACAACUGCAACGAAGGUGCCACUACCAUAAUCAGGUUCAUUGUUUGUCGAGGGACAACUCAGUGAGAGUUUCAUUUGGGAAUGUGAAAUUACAGAACAAGGGAGAGACUGCGGCAGAAAGAGGAGGUGAAGCACAGAUUUGGGAACCACCUGCUUGUUGGUGAGAGAUGAAGCAUGCUAUUCUCCAAGGAGUGAAGACAUUGAGGACUAAACCUUCAGAAACUGAUGAUGAUCAAGGAAAAGAAAAGAUAGAUAAGAGAAGAAAUCAACAGAAGACCAGAUUUUUUUAUUAGUUCUGCUUCUGCUCUUAAUUUAGGAUGUACAUGAAAAUAAGUAUUUUUUAUUUGUCAUAUAAUACUUCUCUAAUAUGUUUCUAUUAGUGUCUUGAAUAAUCUAGUACAAUAGAACUACAUGAAAUAAUUACCUAGAAAAAGGUUGUGGUUAUUAUACUGCUUAAUAAACCUGGGUAGAAACUUGUGGAAUGUGCUAAAAGACAUACAUUUUUCUUAGCAUUACUUUGUAUAGAAUUAUGUUUUCGAUUGAGUUAAUUAGCUUUUACAAUUGGAAAGAGACUUGAAUUAAAUGUAUCUUUCAACACUUUUUAUAAAGCUAUAUAUUCAGGAAGUUCUCUAUAAUCUAUGGUAUGUAAGAAAAGCUCAUUUGCUUCUAUGUUAAUUUAGUGGUAUAAACUAUAAGCUGGGAGAUUUAAAAAGACUCAACUGAAUGAAUACACCAGGAUUUCUUUUAAAUGUACGUAAGUGCACAAUAAAUCUUGGCCAUUUAAA
Macaca mulatta (Rhesus monkey) is the source of this 1135-nucleotide non-coding RNA. Lineage: Eukaryota; Metazoa; Chordata; Mammalia; Primates; Cercopithecidae. The record is from RefSeq and is a predicted model, not a curated record.